UUUUUGCUCGGUCACCAUCGCCAAAUCGGUGAAUGUGGGAUCCUUAAUCGAAUCUUGCGUUAAACUCGUCGAGGGAUUUGCAUCCGGAACUAAAUUUCUUAAAUACAUCGAAACUAUCGCCCAUGGGAAUAUCCAUUUCGUCCAGAAAACAUAUCGGAAAAUCGAUGGGAUAAAAACAUUUCUUUCAAAAUAAUUAUCCAAGCUCUCAAUAGAUGGCGGCACAAAACAUAACCUAAAAUGGGCUGUCAUUUCUUCUCAAUUUUGAGUAUGAAAGUGUCUUAACAAGAUGUGUAACAAAUCUGUCUCAAAACCCAAGAAAAUGAUAUUCAGUCUUUAUGGAAAGAAACAUCGAGAUAAUUAACGGAAACUUUCUAUACAGGACAUGGGGACACAAUUGGGUUUUUUUCUAAUUUUUAAAUGAGCAUAAAACGAAGAAAUGGAAGAAAGUGAAACGCAACUUUCGAAAGUUCAUCGAACUUUGGCAAUGAAUCAGAAGACGAUGAACUUGAUUCCACAAACACACUCUUAAAAUUACUUUUUUGCGUCGAUUAAGACCAUUUUGAAGCUUAUUUAGAAACUGAAUCGAGUUUAAAUCUCGUUUUGUUACGUAAUGAUGUAGAAUUUUCUAAGGUUACGACACUUUGUGUUACAUCACUUAGAUAUCUUUACCAACCUUCUUCAUUGACAUCCCAAACGAUGACGAUUGCUUUUAAUCGGGCUAAUUUAAUGGCUAAGAGUCUUCCUAAGCCGCUGCCUCCUCCAGUUAUUAAAAUAAUCUCUCCAGCGAUGUUUUUCUUUGGUUUAUAAGAAUUUGGGAUGCACAUUUUAAUGAUGGCAUA
RNAcentral lists this long non-coding RNA (839 nucleotides) under Onthophagus taurus. Its description in RNAcentral is "uncharacterized LOC111426127, transcript variant X1". The record is from RNAcentral. Lineage: Eukaryota; Metazoa; Arthropoda; Insecta; Coleoptera; Scarabaeidae.